GCAUAUCACUAAGCGGAGGAAAAGAAACCAACAGGGAUUCUCCUAGUAACGGCGAGUGAAGGGAGAUCAGCCCAGCACCGAAUCCUGCUGCUUUUAGCAGUUAGGAACUGUGGUGUUUAGGUCACUCCUUACGAUGAAAACGGUUUACUCUAAGUCCACCUGAUUGUGGCUCAAGCCCAGAGAGGGUGCAAGGCCCGUAAGAGUAACGCCGUUUUCAUCCCGGAGUCGUCCUUGGAGUCGAGUUGUUUGGGAAUGCAGCUCAAAACUGGUGGUAAACUCCAUCUAAGGCUAAAUACUGCCACGAGUCCGAUAGCGGACAAGUACCGUGAGGGAAAGUUGAAAAGAACUUUGAAGAGAGAGUUCAAUAGUACGUGAAACCGCUUAGAGGCAAACGGAUGAAGCCGAAAUUAGUCCGAGGGAUUCAGCUGUUCUUGCUGUCGCCGCGUUGUCCGACAGAUCUCACGACUGUCUUCGGCGUUGAGUGGCGGCAGAUCGGUGCACUUUCCUCGUGGCUUUCACCACGACUGACAGCGGCGGCAGUCUACGGCUGGAGGAAGGUAGCUUCUUCGUUUCGGCGAAGGAGUGUUAUAGACUCUGGCGUUGGGCUGGCGUUGUGUCAUUGCUGGCGGCGCCCACCCUUUGGGUUCGCACGGCUAGUCUGAUGGGGYUGCCGGCGGGUUUUCUGCGUGCAGUUUUCUCGUCGCGUUAGCUUCACCUUGGCUGGUCCUCUGCGAGUAGGUGCCAAUAGUCUGUGGUGUUUUUGUAGGUCUUUCAUCUGACCCGUCUUGAAACACGGACCAAGGAGUCUAACAUGUGCGCGAGUCAUUGAAUUCUACGAAAUUCAAAGGCAAAGUGAAGGUAAAGGCUGUUUUAAUGCAGCUGAGGUGGGAUACGGCUUGUUGGUCGUCGCAGCACCGGCUCGUUCCAUUUGUUUUCAAAGGGGCGACGCAAGAGCGUACACGCUGGGACCCGAAAGAUGGUGAACUAUGCUUGCGCAGGUCGAAGCCAGAGGAAACUCUGGUGGAGGACCGCAGCGUUUCUGACGUGCAAAUCGAUCGUCAAACGUGAGUAUAGGGGCGAAAGACUAAUCGAACCAUCUAGUAGCUGGUUCCCUCCGAAGUUUC
RNAcentral lists this ribosomal RNA (1124 nucleotides) under Cylindromacrostomum riegeri. RNAcentral's name for it is "eukaryotic LSU rRNA". It matches the Rfam family "Eukaryotic large subunit ribosomal RNA", at positions 38 to 970 of the family's 3401-position model. Lineage: Eukaryota; Metazoa; Platyhelminthes; Dolichomicrostomida; Dolichomacrostomidae. The record is from RNAcentral.